RNAcentral lists this ribosomal RNA (231 nucleotides) under uncultured bacterium. Its description in RNAcentral is "partial 16S ribosomal RNA". It matches the Rfam family "Bacterial small subunit ribosomal RNA", at positions 118 to 347 of the family's 1533-position model. The record is from RNAcentral.
UGGGCAACCUGCCCCCGGCUCUGGGAUAACUCCAAGAAAUUGGGGCUAAUACCGGAUGUGACCGCUGACCGCAUGGUCUGGUGGUGGAAAGAUUUAUCGGCUGGGGAUGGGCCCGCGGCCUAUCAGCUUGUUGGUGGGGUAGUGGCCUACCAAGGCGACGACGGGUAGCCGGCCUGAGAGGGUGACCCGGCCACACUGGGACUGAGACACGGCCCAGACUCCGUACGGGAG